This 545-nucleotide ribosomal RNA is filed under the name uncultured bacterium. RNAcentral describes it as "bacterial SSU rRNA". It matches the Rfam family "Bacterial small subunit ribosomal RNA", at positions 777 to 1320 of the family's 1533-position model. The record is from RNAcentral.
AAUAGAUACCCGGGUAGUCCACGCCGUAAACGAUGAGUGCUAAGUGUUGGGGGGUUUCCGCCCCUCAGUGCUGCAGCUAACGCAUUAAGCACUCCGCCUGGGGAGUACGGUCGCAAGACUGAAACUCAAAGGAAUUGACGGGGGCCCGCACAAGCGGUGGAGCAUGUGGUUUAAUUCGAAGCAACGCGAAGAACCUUACCAGGUCUUGACAUCCCGGUGACCACUAUGGAGACAUAGUUUCCCCUUCGGGGGCAACGGUGACAGGUGGUGCAUGGUUGUCGUCAGCUCGUGUCGUGAGAUGUUGGGUUAAGCCCCGCAACGAGCGCAACCCUUAUUCUUAGUUGCCAUCAUUCAGUUGGGCACUCUAAGGAGACUGCCGGUGAUAAACCGGAGGAAGGUGGGGAUGACGUCAAAUCAUCAUGCCCCUUAUGACCUGGGCUACACACGUGCUACAAUGGACGGUACAAACGGUUGCCAACCCGCGAGGGGGAGCUAAUCCGAUAAAACCGUUCUCAGUUCGGAUUGUAGGCUGCAACUCGCCUACA